Long non-coding RNA from Cajanus cajan (pigeon pea), 1250 nucleotides. RefSeq lists it as uncharacterized. The record is from RefSeq and is a predicted model, not a curated record. Lineage: Eukaryota; Viridiplantae; Streptophyta; Magnoliopsida; Fabales; Fabaceae.
AUCAAAAACACUAUUCUAUUACUCUUUUUCUCUCCACUUUUUAGGCUUCACUCAUUCAUUCUCUAUUUUUUGCGAGUCAAAGAAGUUGCUCCUAAUGCGAGACGAAGAAACGCCAAACUCUCAUUCUCUUUUGUCUUCCCCGACAAAUUUCAAAGUCCAAGAGGUAAUGUAAUUCUUCUCUCUACUCAGCGUUCAAUUAUAGUUUCCUCGUGAUUAUGGAAAAUUGCAGAGAAAUGUGACUUCUACGGCUACAAUUGUGGUGGCGAAGGCAUAACUUCAAAAAAAGUUGGAACCCUAAAAAUUUCUUGAAUGUUCGAGAAGGUAGAUUUGGAAGGGAAAACCAACCACGAUUUGGAAGGGAACAGAGGCGGUGCAGUACAAUUCAGCGAUGGAGAUUACCGCGGUGGCGGAGAAAGACGCGGAGUUGAGGAAAUCGGCGUUCAAGCCAAACUCACCCGCUUGCAAGGUCGUUGUGGAUCAAGUGGUGAAGAUAAUCGAGAAAGCGGAUUCGAAGCUUCUGGUUCCCUGCAUAAAGACGAUUGGGAAUUUGGCCAGAACAUUCAAGGCGACGAAGAGUCGGAUGAUUGUUUCCUUUCUAAUACUUUGUGCUCCAUUUAACUGUGUGCUAGUUUUGUUUCAUUUCCCAUGAGAUUUCAUUAUAGUAUAUUUUGUGGCUUGAGUUUCUUAUUACCUAUGUACCAAAGUCCAAUGUAAAGGGCUCCUACUACUAUUUUUAAAUUUUAGAGAACAAAUACUUAUUAUCUGUGUGGCAGCACAUAAUUUGGAUUUGACCAUAUAUAUAUGUGCACAGGAAUGGACCAUUCUGGAUUUGCACUACCUUAAUAUUUGUAGCAGCAUCCAUUGGCACAUUUGUGACAUAUUUAUCGUACAAACUGAAGCAUAAGGAAUGGAACUAUGACAUAAAUCUGGUGACAUGGUCCGCUGGCUUGUUUUAUGGUUAUGUCAACAUUGUUCCUCUUGGUUUGUAUUUAAUCCUUAAGUACAUCUCUGUACCAUCUGGCCUUGUCCAACUACUCUGCCUCUAUGGAUAUUCCCUAUUUGUCUUUAUUCCGACUCUGGCUCAAGUUCAUAGACAUGCUCAUAACUUUAGGGAAGUGCAGCAAUGUACUCUUCUGUCUAUCAAAAUAGGAGGGUGCAGUGAAGAUUGUUACAUAAUAUGUUGGAUAUGUUUUAGAAUUGAUGGAUUUAAUGUCUUAAUAAUAAAAAAUGUCAUGCUAGACUUAUGGCUA